GCUAUUCACCAAACAGUGGACAGAGUUAGACAUCUAGUUCUCCUGCUGGACAGAUAGCCAGCUUAAGCAAAAGCUACGUUUUGAGGGUUAUGACACCUACGGGUGCUUUCCAGCUUGUAGCUCUGUCGUCAGAGAUUAAACAGAUGUAUUUGGUUAAGUCAGUGUCUCUGGCAUGACAAGCCCUCAAAACAUUGGCGUUAGCGAAGCGGAACCUCU
Molecule: non-coding RNA, 216 nt
Organism: Scytonema millei VB511283
Lineage: Bacteria; Bacillati; Cyanobacteriota; Cyanophyceae; Nostocales; Scytonemataceae
Source: Rfam